UGGCUUCAGAUGAGCCUGUCUCUGUGCUGGCAUCACCAGUGGUUGCUGCUUCAGUCUCGGUGUCUGACCUCCCCCAUCUCCCGCCAAGGGCAAUUGUCAUCAUCUCAUAGAUCUUACCACCCAACUCCGCAGGACUGUCAGGCUGGACAUUCCAAGUAAACAAACAGUCAAAUGGUAAGGUUCAUGAUGACCAAGAAAUGAAAUAUAAUGAGUGUCAACAAAUCUUACAUUCAAGUCCUUGACAAUAGGGUGGUCAGGGUUAAUUUCGAAAAUCCUUCUACCCCUCAUGAACUCCAAGCUUGAUGUGUCCCCAAGUGUUUGUGCUUUCAUGAGAAAUACCUUUCCAUGUUGGCAGACCAACCAAACUUGCCAGAUACAAGAACACAUGGUGACAAACUGAGGCGCUUUGAUAUUUGAACCUUUGCUACCUUGUCACCAAGCUGCUGUUUUACCCAGUCACACAGAAGAGUGUAUUCCUAGCAAAUUUCAAACACUUCCUCAGUCCUCACCCAACUCCAGGUCCUCUUUGCUGAUAUCAACAAACUUCUUCUCUUUAUAGGUCUGCAAAUUCUGAAUGGCAACCUCAUCUAUUGGCUCAAUGAGGUAGAGAACCUAAAGAGGGAAAAAAAACAGCAACAUGAGAAAGGAGCAGUCUUUGCACUCUGGAGACUAUCUGUAGCAAUGUAAUAGAUUGCUUUUUGGUUCUCUGGCAUGUUUUCUACAUAUUGAUCAAGACUUAUCAAAUCUCCCUCAUUUUUAGAAGUGUGGAAACGCAGCAGAGGUGCAAGACGCUUGUGAUUU
This 801-nucleotide small RNA is filed under the name Oryza sativa Japonica Group (Japanese rice). Its description in RNAcentral is "sRNA Os08g0487850". The record is from RNAcentral. Lineage: Eukaryota; Viridiplantae; Streptophyta; Magnoliopsida; Poales; Poaceae.